UUUUAAAUUUUUAAUAGAAUUUGCCCAGUGUAAAUAUUAAUAAACGGCUUCUUAAGAAAUGUAGCGAAAUCAUUAGCCUUUUAAUUGAGGGCCAGUAUGAAAAAUUUAACUUUUUUUCUUUGCUUAAAAAAAAUUAAUUAAAAUUAAAAGUUUAAUGAAAAUUUUAAAAUAAUUUAAAAGACGAGAAGACCCUAAAAUCUUAAAAUUUUUAUUGGGACAAUAUAAAAAAGUUAAAUUCCAGAUUAAUAAAUACCCAUUUUGUUUAUUAAAGAUCCUUUAGGGAUAACAGCAUUAUUAAUAAUAAAGACCAUAUUAAUAUAUUAGAUUUUGACCUCGAUGUUGAAUUAGAAUAUUUUAGAAGCAGAAAGUUAAAAAUUUUUAGUCUGUUCGACUAGUUAUUU
RNAcentral lists this ribosomal RNA (401 nucleotides) under Oncaea mediterranea. RNAcentral's name for it is "partial 16S ribosomal RNA". The record is from RNAcentral. Lineage: Eukaryota; Metazoa; Arthropoda; Copepoda; Poecilostomatoida; Oncaeidae.